Molecule: non-coding RNA, 469 nt
Organism: Lactuca sativa (garden lettuce)
Lineage: Eukaryota; Viridiplantae; Streptophyta; Magnoliopsida; Asterales; Asteraceae
Source: RefSeq, a predicted model, not a curated record
UUUAUCCUCUAUACCCACCCGCAGAAGACAAUCCUAUAGACUUGUCACUUGCUCCAGAAGACCUUUAAUGUCUAGUGUUCCAGACAUUCUCAUUGUCCCUUGAGACCUCACACACUUUGUGAAGAUGGAGGGAAAGAUUGCUAGGAGAGAGCUACGAAAACUUAAAAUGGACAUGAUUAUGGGCACAUCAUGGAACAUUUUAGGGCAGUUGUUGGUUUUCCUCUUGGUGAUACAUCAAUGAAGUGGCCAACUUGCAUCAUAUAAUAACAUUUUAGGGGAAGAUGUAGGUAUAUGUUUUCUUAAUGAAUAAUGUAAUCAUAUGUAUGAAUAUGAAAUAAAGGUUGUUAUUUAGUAUGUGAUAAUCAUGUAUAGGGAGAAAACAACUUCUAUUGACUUGUUUUAUCUUUCCAUGGAUUGAUUAUUUGUAUGACAUUAAAUUUUAUUCAAUGGAUUGUAUUUUUUUUUAUAA